Molecule: ribosomal RNA, 471 nt
Filed under: uncultured bacterium
Lineage: Bacteria
Description: SSU rRNA
Rfam family: Bacterial small subunit ribosomal RNA
Source: RNAcentral
AGGAUAAACGCUGGCGGCGUGCAUGAGACAUGCAAGUCGAACGGACGAUCAGGGCUUGCUCUGAUCGUUAGUGGCGGACGGCUGAGUAACGCGUAGGUGACCUGCCCCGAAGUGGGGAAUAACUGCCCGAAAGGGUGGCUAAUACCGCAUGUGGUGGUGUGUUCAUUCACACCAGUAAAGCCGCAAGGCGCUUCGGGAGGGGCCUGCGUCCGAUUAGCUCGUUGGUGGGUAACGGCUCACCAAGGCGACGAUCGGUAGGUGGUCUGAGAGGACGAUCACCCAGACUGGGACUGAGACACGGCCCAGACUCCUACGGGAGGCAGCAGUCGGGAAUUUUGCGCAAUGGACGAAAGUCUGACGCAGCAACGCCGCGUGAGGGAUGGAGGCCUUCGGGUUGUAAACCUCUUUAUCAGGGAAGAUAAUGACGGUACCUGAUGAAUAAGUCACGGCUAACUACGUGCCAGCAGCCGC